RNAcentral lists this ribosomal RNA (255 nucleotides) under Candidatus Amesiibacteriota bacterium. RNAcentral describes it as "partial 16S ribosomal RNA". It matches the Rfam family "Bacterial small subunit ribosomal RNA", at positions 1 to 270 of the family's 1533-position model. Lineage: Bacteria; Candidatus Amesiibacteriota. The record is from RNAcentral.
UUGAGAGUUUGAUCCUGGCUCAGGAUGAACGCUGGCGGAGUGCCUUAGGCAUGCAAGUGGAAUGUCGAUAAUCCCGCAAGGGAUGAUCGGCAUCGCAGACGGGUGAGUACAGCGUAGGAAUUUGCCCAAUGGUGGGGAAUAACUCGCCGAAAGGCGGGCUAAUACCGCAUAAGAUCGCAAGAUGAAAGGCCGUAACUGGCCGCCGAUGGAGAAGCCUACGUCCUAUCAGCUAGUUGGUGGGGUAAAAGCCUACCA